Molecule: ribosomal RNA, 250 nt
Filed under: uncultured bacterium
Lineage: Bacteria
Description: partial 16S ribosomal RNA
Rfam family: Bacterial small subunit ribosomal RNA
Source: RNAcentral
UACGGAGGGUGCGAGCGUUGUCCGGAUUUAUUGGGUUUAAAGGGUGCGUAGGCUGGAAGGUCAGUCAGCGGUGAAAAGCUGUCGCUCAACGAUAGUCUUGCCGCAGAUACUUCCUUUCUUGGAUGGGGAGAAGGUUACCGGAACGGAUGGUGUAGCGGUGAAAUGCAUAGAUAUCAUCCAGAACGCCAAUUGCGAAGGCAGGUGACUGUACCUUUAUCGACGCUGAUGCACGAAAGCAUGGGUAGCGAAC